AUUGAACGCUGGCGGCAGGCCUAACACAUGCAAGUCGAGCGGCAGCGGGAAGUAGCUUGCUACUUUGCCGGCGAGCGGCGGACGGGUGAGUAAUGUCUGGGAAACUGCCUGAUGGAGGGGGAUAACUACUGGAAACGGUAGCUAAUACCGCAUAACGUCGCAAGACCAAAGAGGGGGACCUUCGGGCCUCUUGCCAUCAGAUGUGCCCAGAUGGGAUUAGCUAGUAGGUGGGGUAAUGGCUCACCUAGGCGACGAUCCCUAGCUGGUCUGAGGGGAUGACCAGCCACACUGGAACUGAGACACGGUCCAGACUCCUACGGGAGGCAGCAGUGGGGAAUAUUGCACAAUGGGCGCAAGCCUGAUGCAGCCAUGCCGCGUGUAUGAAGAAGGCCUUCGGGUUGUAAAGUACUUUCAGCAGGGAGGAAGGUGUUGAGGUUAAUAACCUCAGCAAUUGACGUUACCCGCAGAAGAAGCACCGGCUAACUCCGUGCCAGCAGCCGCGGUAA
Molecule: ribosomal RNA, 506 nt
Filed under: uncultured bacterium
Lineage: Bacteria
Description: partial 16S ribosomal RNA
Rfam family: Bacterial small subunit ribosomal RNA
Source: RNAcentral